UUGAAGAGUUUGAUCAUGGCUCAGAUUGAACGCUGGCGGCAGGCCUAACACAUGCAAGUCGAACGGUAACAGGAAGCAGCUUGCUGCUUUGCUGACGAGUGGCGGACGGGUGAGUAAUGUCUGGGAAACUGCCUGAUGGAGGGGGAUAACUACUGGAAACGGUAGCUAAUACCGCAUAACGUCGCAAGACCAAAGAGGGGGACCUUCGGGCCUCUUGCCAUCGGAUGUGCCCAGAUGGGAUUAGCUAGUAGGUGGGGUAACGGCUCACCUAGGCGACGAUCCCUAGCUGGUCUGAGAGGAUGACCAGCCACACUGGAACUGAGACACGGUCCAGACUCCUACGGGAGGCAGCAGUGGGGAAUAUUGCACAAUGGGCGCAAGCCUGAUGCAGCCAUGCCGCGUGUAUGAAGAAGGCCUUCGGGUUGUAAAGUACUUUCAGCGGGGAGGAAGGGAGUAAAGUUAAUACCUUUGCUCAUUGACGUUACCCGCAGAAGAAGCACCGGCUAACUCCGUGCCAGCAGCCGCGGUAAUACGGAGGGUGCAAGCGUUAAUCGGAAUUACUGGGCGUAAAGCGCACGCAGGCGGUUUGUUAAGUCAGAUGUGAAAUCCCCGGGCUCAACCUGGGAACUGCAUCUGAUACUGGCAAGCUUGAGUCUCGUAGAGGGGGGUAGAAUUCCGGUGUAGCGGUGAAAUGCGUAGAGAUCUGGAGGAAUACCGGUGGCGAAGGCGGCCCCCUGGACGAAGACUGACGCUCAGGUGCGAAAGCGUGGGGAGCAAACAGGAUUAGAUACCCUGGUAGUCCACGCCGUAAACGAUGUCGACUUGGAGGUUGUGCCCUUGAGGCGUGGCUUCCGGAGCUAACGCGUUAAGUCGACCGCCUGGGGAGUACGGCCGCAAGGUUAAAACUCAAAUGAAUUGACGGGGGCCCGCACAAGCGGUGGAGCAUGUGGUUUAAUUCGAUGCAACGCGAAGAACCUUACCUGGUCUUGACAUCCACGGAAGUUUUCAGAGAUGAGAAUGUGCCUUCGGGAACCGUGAGACAGGUGCUGCAUGGCUGUCGUCAGCUCGUGUUGUGAAAUGUUGGGUUAAGUCCCGCAACGAGCGCAACCCUUAUCCUUUGUUGCCAGCGGUCCGGCCGGGAACUCAAAGGAGACUGCCAGUGAUAAACUGGAGGAAGGUGGGGAUGACGUCAAGUCAUCAUGGCCCUUACGACCAGGGCUACACACGUGCUACAAUGGCGCAUACAAAGAGAAGCGACCUCGCGAGAGCAAGCGGACCUCAUAAAGUGCGUCGUAGUCCGGAUUGAGUCUGCAACUCGACUCCAUGAAGUCGGAAUCGCUAGUAAUCGUGGAUCAGAAUGCCACGGUGAAUACGUUCCCGGGCCUUGUACACACCGCCCGUCACACCAUGGGAGUGGGUUGCAAAAGAAGUAGGUAGCUUAACCUUCGGGAGGGCGCUUACCACUUUGUGAUUCAUGACUGGGGUGAAGUCGUAACAAGGUAACCGUAGGGGAACCUGCGGUUGGAUCACCUCCUU
This 1536-nucleotide ribosomal RNA is filed under the name Escherichia coli. RNAcentral's name for it is "bacterial SSU rRNA". It matches the Rfam family "Bacterial small subunit ribosomal RNA". Lineage: Bacteria; Pseudomonadati; Pseudomonadota; Gammaproteobacteria; Enterobacterales; Enterobacteriaceae. The record is from RNAcentral.